GGGCGCGGGGCCGCCCACUCGCCUGCGGGUGUGGAGUCUCCGGUUGGCCCGCUCGAGGCCGCGGCUGCUCCUUCCUCUCCCGGCGGCACAGGUAGGGGGGCAGCGGCGUCUCCCCUCCCCUCCCUUCUGUCCCGGAUCCGCGAGAGCGGCCGGGAUUCGGUCGUGGUUCUGUUCCGAGGGUCCCGCCAGCCGUGGGCCGUGCUGAGCCCUUGGAGCCGGGGCCUCUGCAGCCGGCGCGGCCGGGCAUGGCUCGCCUGCCCUCCCGGUAGCUGUGGGCGGAGCGGGGCCGCCUCUGAGCCUGAGCCCGGCGGAGUUCUGGAGCCGCGGUGCCCGUGCCGGGUGUCUCGCUGCUCGGUGCCUGUCUGCCCUCCGCCGGGGGACCGCUCCCGUCCUCUCUUUCCCUGCAGGGAGGCGGCCGGUGGGAGCAGCGCCCGUGCCGAUGCUGCUGCCGGCCUGGGAACUGUGCCUCUACGGGCUCCUGACCGUGGGCUCCCACCUCUACGCUUUCUACGAAGCGCACCAAGUGUCUCGAAAGUAUGAAGCUGCAAUGGACAGAAGAUUUGGGCUUGACCCAGGAACUCUCUUUCGGGGGCUAAAAAAGGACCCCAUGGACUUUGAGUGGAGCUACUGGAUUGAAUGGGGAAGGGAACGUAUACUGUGGCUUCUGGCUGGUCACCUGCUGGUAUCACAAAUGUCCAGGCUCUUGGUGGAGAAGUAUAAACCAUGGUGCUUGAUGGUUUAUGGAAUGGCUGCCUGCUGGUUAUUAUUGGGAAUCAAGGGUUUUGCCAUCAUUUUGUUACAUGCAGCUAUUUCCUUUGCUGUGGCGCAGUUUCGGCUGUCACUCCUGACAUGGUUGUGCUCCCUUAUCCUUCUGUCCACUUUGCGCAUACCAGCCGUGGAACAAACCAAGAGAAAGUGGUAUGACACUGAAAAUGAGUAUUACCUGCUGCUCUUCACUGUGUCUGUCCGAUGCCUCUUCUGCACUAGCUUCAGCCUGGAGUACUGCUGGCAUGCACCUACCCAGAAGUCAUCCCACUCAUUCCCCUGGAUGCUGGCAUAUGUGUUUUAUUAUCCUACAUUCCACAAUGGACCCCUUGUGAAUUUUGAUGAGUUCAGUAAGCAGAUGAGGAUGCAAGAAGCUUUCAGUGUGAAGACCAAUCUCAGCAUCUUAAUUGUGGGCAUAAUUCGUAUUUUCUUUUGGUGGUGCCUGGCUGAGCUGAUGAUUCACCUCAUGUAUAUCCAUGCUCUCUACAGUAGUGCUCUGCCUUUGGAAUCUGCAUCUUACUGGGCCUUGGGUGGCCUGGCUUUAGCUCAAGUACUUUUCUUUUAUGUGAAAUAUCUGGUUCUGUAUGGUGUUCCUGGCCUCCUCCUUCAAAUGGAUGGACUCAAACCUCCAGCUCUACCUUGCUGUGUGAGCCUGAUGCACAGUUUCACCAAAAUGUGGAGAAGUUUUGACGUUGGGCUGCAUCGCUUUCUGGUCAGGUACAUUUAUGUUCCGAUGGGAGGAUCUCAGUCCAGUCUGCUUGGAACACUAUUAUCUACAGCCCUCACUUUUGCCUUCAUAAGCUACUGGCAUGGAGGACAGAGUUAUUUGUGGUACUGGGGUGCACUUAAUUGGCUUGGAGUAGUUGUGGAAAAUGUCACCAAGAGGAUACUUUCAAUUUCACUUAUUCAAGAUUUAAUUGAACGUUUCUUCUCGCCAAGAUUUCGUCGUCGACUUCAUGCUGUCCUAGCAUCUGUUAGCACUUCAAUGUUGAUUUUAUCAAAUCUAAUAUUUCUUGGAGGAAAUCAAGUUGGAAAAAUUUACUGGAACAGGAUCUUUAUAGAAGGCUGGCCAUGGGCGACACUGACUGUUCUUGGGUUCCUGUACUGCUAUUCUCAUGUUGGAAUUGAAUGGGAGCAGAAGUACACUGUACAUUAGGAAUGAUGCAAACAAUUAAGACAGGUUGAUGUUUUUCCUACACUGGAUAUUCUAUCUGCACAAGGGCCACUUCAGUGACCUCUCCACUGCCUUUCCCCAGCUCUUGGCAUCCUUUCUCAAGGCUACCUUUGGAUCCAGCUCUGCUGACCCACACUUCACACACCACUGCUGGUGCCAUCUGCCCAACUUUCACUCAGGUUAUUCUUCUCAAAGUUCCUCAAUUUGAUCAAGUUCUGCCAAACAUCACUUGCUAAAAAUGAGACCUCCAAAGGGUCUGAAGACAUCCUGCUUGUUUUAAACAGUUAUGCCAAUAACUGCUGACACCAUGAACUGCAGGUUGGGUAUGAGGCCUGACAUAGGUGUAAGGCUUUAAAAAGUGUGAUGGCCAUUCAAAAUAAAAUAACAUGCCACUUUUGGAGUACUUGCGGGUUCUUGCUGGUUGAGGAAAUGUCUAUUUUAAGAAACAUUACAUUUUCAUACUAAUCAGGUUUCCACACUUAAUCUUUAAAACUUUGAGACUGCUGGCAGUAACCCAAGGGCACUCUCUGACAGUGGCAGAGACAACUGAGGCAGGGUAAAGUAUCUCACAGCUUCUUCCAGCAGGCAAAUCAUGACUCAGAGGGCUACAGCCCUUUAGAACCCCCAGCCAAAGGAGCUUCUUGGGCAGUCAGUCCCAUUUGCCCUUGUGCCAGUGUUGUGCUUCCCUUUCCUGCUCCCUCCCUAAUGUCUGCCCCCUCUGUGAGUGUAACCUAGAAACCCACCCUCUCACACCUCAUUUUCCAAGGUUUUCCUCGGAUGCUUAUGUGAGACACAGACAGGUUUCCUCCAUAAUGGAUUUUCCUGGGUAAAGGAAAUGCAGCAAAUUCAAGCUACAAAGAUGGGUAUCCAGGGCUGUACUUCAGCUACAUUAUAUGCUGCUUCCAUUUGCUGCUGUGACCUUACACUCUUCUCCCUGGUUUAGACUGGGGUCAGAGCAACCAGCCUGCAGCCUUUCAGCACACCUGGCCAUAGCUGCUCUAUUUGCUGCUCACAAAUGAGAGGCACCCACCCCGUUUUACAGAGCUAUUUAUGAUUUGUGUUGGCAGAAUUGUAAUUUCAUGCAGUAUUUCAUGCACACUUCCUGUACACUUUCCUAAAGGAUGCUUCUUCCAAUUUAGCUUUCAGCUGAACAGCUUUACAUUUUUCUCUGUUCACUUCCACUAUCCAGGUUGUAUGUGCAGUGUUAUCAUUCUAAAUGAAAAAAAAAAUAAAUACUUCAUGUUGACUUGGGGCACUAUAUGGAUUAUCUUAGCUUUCUUCCCAGUUCUCAUGCUGAGAGUGUUCAACACCUUUUCCUGUUAUCACUGGUUCUUCUAAAGUACCUUCUGCUUAACUGUAAAACUCACCAAAAAAGAUUGCUGGAGAGCUUUGAAAGCAAUCUAUUUUUCCUCUCUAAGCCCUGCUUGCUUUUCUUGUUGAGCUGUCUUUUUGGUCCCAUUGCUGAGCACACAGUAACUCCCAGGCUUAGUAGUGCACUCCCUGUGCUACUGCUGCUUAGCAUUUCCCCCAAGUGGCAGCCCCUGAUGAAGAAGAGGCCAUAAUCUUCCUUUUAUAGAAAAUCCACACGUGUAAGAUACUCCAGCACAGUUUCGUUGUGCCCCCAGUUUUGUAAGCUGGGAGACUGGGAAUGUGGAAGGAAAUUCCAGUGCAAAAGCACAAAACCCUCAGAUUUGCACAUAGAAACUGCAGUGACAUUUACAGGGGGCCUGUGUCCCCCUCCCCAGGCAGGAAUUAAUAGCAAAGCUCAUACUUCACCCUCAUCCACCUGAACAGAAAUAUCUUCAAGAAAAUCUCUACAAGGAAGCAAAUCUUAAAAAGAACCAAAACCUCUGCAAGGUUUCUCAGACACUUCUGCCUCCGUAAAUACUUAAAGUGGAGCUGCAGGGAGAAAGCUUCGGAAUUGGUGAUGAUGGAUGGAGCUGCCAAACUUAAGCUUGUUUUAAACCUACACCUGUGCCAUGGGGCAGCUUAAAUUUGAAUUUGGCUGUACUAUGUAAGGACUUGAACUUAAUUAGGAAAGGGGAAGCAGGAAUGGAAAAGGAAAGGGAAAAAAAAGCAAAAAGACAAGGCUUGAGCACAUGUAUUUUACAGAUACAGCUGUGCAUGAGCAUCUCGGUAGCUACUUCUGACAGGCUUCAGGAGUUCACUUUCCCUAAUGCCUUUUUUGGAUUUCUCACAGGUUUUUACUCGUCCUGUCUUUCAAGAACAGGACAUGUUAGUUCCCCCAGCUGCCACAUACCAACACAGAAGUUGUGGUGAGUUAGAAUGAAAGAAGCACAGACUCAAUCUUCUAGGUGAAAAUACUUGUAUUGGCUGAGAUUCUUUAUAUGUGUGUUGCAAUUAAACCCCUGACACCUCUGGCAGCAAUAGAUACCAUAGCAACACGGCAUUCUUCCCAGCAUUUUCUGGUUGGCUACACAUCCUUACUAACCAGCCUAACUCCUGGAGCAGAAGGCAAGCACAGAGAACAGCUAAUCAGCCAAGGUCUUCUCAGCCUCUGUGUUGGGGGCAGCACCUGCUUCCCACUGGGUGAGGGGCUCAGUGCUCUCCCCGAGCUUUGUUGGGGUCUCCUGAGCAUUGCCCUGCACCAGGCACACACACUGCUGGGACAUGCUGAACAGGAAUGGUUUUGAUUUUUACUUAGUGCUCUGGGAGCAAAUAAAACCCAUUGCUAUUGCACACAUGUGUGAGGGGGAGGGAUUUGCUGCAGUUCAGUCCCACUGAACUCUCACAGGCUCUCACAGCACAGAAGAGCUGGUUUGUGCUGGUUGUCUUUACUCCACUGCAAAAAAGCACUAGAGACAGAGUGCUUCUGACUUUAACACGGCUUUAAAAUGCACCACAGAGCAACUAAAGAACCUCCAUUACCAAAUGCAGAACUUAAAACUGCAUAGGCAGCACUCACCUCCCCACAAACUGAUGCACUGCUGGCCGCUGCUGCUGCACACCCAGAUGGGUAAAGACCCCGUGUGCCUGGCAGGUGUCCCCAGCAGCUGCACACUAAUUCAUAACCAAACAGAAUGACAAUACCUGCUCCAGCUAUUUCUGAGAAAAAUCAGUGCUUUAAAAACCUUCUGUCCCUGCUGUGAAUGUGCUCCCAGGUGGAGGGAAUGAGGAGCAGGGGCUGGUGCAGGUGGGCCUAAGGCUGCUCACAGCUGCUGAGGCUGCUGUUGCCCAGCUGAGCACAGGGCAGCGUGCCUUUGAGCCUUUGCAAUCUGGCAAAUUGGGCAAAUCAAAUCUGGGCAAAAAGUGCUGCAGCUAAUUACCUUUGGUUUGAAAUGCUGUGGGGCUGCUGAGGGGAGAGAAACUGAUGGGGAGCAUUGUGUAGCCCCUGCUACACCUCCUGCACUAAAGCUUGGAGCACUGCCAGGGAGGCUCCAAAGAAUGCAACAGCAAAGAAUAUAGUGAAGAAUUCACAAAAUGAGCACAAAAGCCUCUAGAGACCCCCAAAAAAACCACCAAAAAAACCCAAGUGAAAGUACAUGCUUUCACUAUGGUAACUGUCCCUUUUCUAGUAAGUAUAAGGACAGUGUAUAACAUCAUGCAAAAGAAAACUGGAUUUUCAUGCUGGCCAGAGAAACAAUGUGAGUG
Parus major (Great Tit) is the source of this 5551-nucleotide RNA transcript. It is a transcript of the gene named hedgehog acyltransferase, with no coding region annotated. The record is from RefSeq and is a predicted model, not a curated record. The transcript has 12 exons. NCBI's taxonomy places the organism in Eukaryota, Metazoa, Chordata, Aves, Passeriformes, Paridae.